Molecule: long non-coding RNA, 1505 nt
Filed under: Vigna radiata
Lineage: Eukaryota; Viridiplantae; Streptophyta; Magnoliopsida; Fabales; Fabaceae
Description: long non-coding RNA (VRAD_LNC002570)
Source: RNAcentral
AAAAGGGCUGAAACCAGUUCUAAGAUGAAGGAGUUUCAAGAGUUAUUUGGCUAUUUAUCCCUUUUGCCCUGCCUACACCAUAAUCACUUGGUUGGGCUAGUUGGAUUCUGUAAAGAGAAAGAUAAAAGGUUCUUGGUGUAUGAGUACAUGAAGAAUGGGGCGUUAUAUGAUCAUUUGCAUGACAAAAAGAAUGUGGACAAGGAGAGCAGUGUGUUGAAUUCUUGGAGAAUGAGGAUCAAGAUUGCUUUGGAUGCUUCCCGGGGAAUAGAACACCUUCAUAAAUAUGUAGUUCCAACUAUUAUUUACAGAGAUAUCAAGUCUUCCAACAUUCUUCUUGAUGCUAAUUGGACGGCAAGAGUAUCUGGUUUUGAAUCGUCGUGUUUCAUGAGUCCAGAAGCUGAGCAUGUUUACACGGAUAUGGUUACCGCAAAGAGGGAUGUGUACGGGCUUGGAGUUGUGCUGCUUGAACUUUUAACAGGAAAGAAAACUACAUUCAAGUAUGGGUCAUAUAGGUGCACACGUAUGGUGAACAUUGCACGACAUGUUAUUUUGGAUGGGAAAAUGGUGAACGUUUUGGAUCCAAGGGUUGGAGCACCCCAUGGAAAUGACGAAGCAGAGGCACUGGAAUUAGUGGCCCAUACAGCGGUCAAUUGUGUAAAUUUGAACAGGAAAGAUAGGCCAACUAUGACUGAGGUAGUGGCCAAUUUGGAGACAGCUUUAUCACUUGCCAGUGAUAACAGAAAAACAGACCAUUUGCACUAUUUAUGACAAUUUAAUCUUACACAAUGUAUAUACACAUGCCAUCACUCAUUAAAGUAUCAUGACGCUGAAUACUAACAUUUUUUGACAAUUUUUUUUUCCGGUAAAAGUUGGGGAUCCCUAGCAUUGCAGUAGUUAUUAGCAUGGUUAUCAAACUCAUUAACUCGGACGAGUUACAUUCCUAGUCAUAGCUUCUGAGUUAACUUGAAGGAAACUCGUUUUCCAACUAGAAUCGGUGGAAUCGUUCGAACUCGCGAGUUUGUAAUGGUUUGGCGAGUUCGAAAGAAGAAAAAUUUGAAGCCAAAUCAUAGUCGUUUGGAGGGGAAAAAUCACCUGGUUAGGGCUCCAAUCUUUUGAUAUUAAGCCCCUUCUUCUUCGUUCUCUGAGCUACAUCACCCUUUCGCCAUCGCGUCACUCCCUCUGGCCAUCGCACUCGCCGUCGACCAUCAUCUCGUAGCUGUCCUUGGUCGUGUCACCCUCGCGUCACUCUCUGUGCAAAGCUCCCAAACGGAGCCAUCGCCGACAUAGGCGCUGGUGGCACCACCUACGCCCUUCUGCUGGAUCGCGUGAGCUUAUUCUCGCUGUGUUUCCCUCCCAACAAAGGAAGUGAGGAGGUGCGGGGUGGCGCAGGAAAUGGGGAUAAAAGAUAGGAUUAUUUUUUUACUUUGGGAUAGAAUGGGUAUUAAAAAAAUUAGGGAGGUGCAGAAGAAAUAAAUGGGGUGCAAGAAGGGGCAGCCCCUCUCCAC